UAGAUUAACCGUAACAUUACCCUGGGCAUCCGGUGGUGAGUAUAUUACCGGGAAGGCCUCUGGAAUCAAUUGUGCAGCUAUCUCGUGUUCACCCUCACAUAGGGCCUCAUUUGCUAUUUGGUUCCACAUCCUCUGCCUCUGUUGAACACCGUCUGUAAACGGGCUGGUGUUUUUUCUGUCUGGUUUUUGCUCUCUUAUUUCCUCAUCCAUCUGAGGGUUAACACUACCAGCUCUUCCUGGCAAUCCCAGUUGCUCUGUAGCGGCAGCAGCGACUCUCUGCUCGGCCUGAUGUAUAGCUAAGGCGUUAGUGACUGCUUUCCAAGGCUUCGAUAAUUUUUUAGCAGUCUUAUUGUCAUUAAUAACUUCAUCAAACAAUUUGUCCCCAAAUUUGCGCCACUCUGCUUGUUCAAAAACUGUAUCCAGAUUGAUAAAACAACCCUUUGUUACUCCAUAUGCUAAUAAUCCUGGUAAAUCUUUUUUGCAGUCUAUACCCUGCGUGCUGCGGUUUUCUAAAAAGCAUUUGAGCAAAUCAUAUGCCUCCAUGCCUUUAUUUAUGCUGUUGCAGCCUUUGCGAGACACAUGACUGACAGGGACCCUCUAUAGGUGCUCUCGGGUGCGGGGAUUCCGCGUUUACGUCCCGUUACGUCCCGUUCACCUGUCAGAGUGCAGGUGAGGGGAUUAUCGUCCCUUUUACCUCUACCGCAAUUACUUCAGUGUCUCGCGAUUACUUCAAUUUCCUGCGCGGUUCCGUACCCCGCGUCUCUCACCGUGAGUCCCCGCGUCCCCGCGUCCCACCGUGUCCCGCGUCUCUCACCGGGAGUACCGCGUUUUCCGCGUCUCACCGGGAGUAGCGCGUCUCACCGUGAGUCCUGUGUACAGCGUGUGCGGCUCGGUGUCUGGUCAGCUGCAGCGCCGCUCCGAUGUCCGCUCCGAUGUCCCGCGCCGCUCCGAUGUCUCAGUCUCGGCGCUGUGAUGUCCCGGCGCCGCUGGUCCCGACGCCGCUGGUCUCCUGGUCUACCUGAGUUCGGAUGUGCCGGCGCCGCUGGUGUCCCGCUGCACUGGUGUCCCGCUGCGCUGCGGUGUUUGCCCCGGCGCCGCUGCGAUGUCCGUGCUCGGCUGCGAUGUCCUGCUCCGGUGCGAUGUCUGUCCCGCUGCGAUGUCCUGUUCAGGCCUUGUUCAGGUCUCAGCCUGUUCGGGCGCCAUUUGUUGCGAAGCACGGACAAAAGCACAACAGACACCAGCAGAGUCA
RNAcentral lists this long non-coding RNA (1249 nucleotides) under Anas platyrhynchos platyrhynchos (common mallard). RNAcentral describes it as "lncRNA (ENSAPLG00000024037.1)". The record is from RNAcentral. Lineage: Eukaryota; Metazoa; Chordata; Aves; Anseriformes; Anatidae.